RNAcentral lists this long non-coding RNA (1682 nucleotides) under Equus caballus (horse). RNAcentral describes it as "lncRNA (ENSECAG00000044785.1)". The record is from RNAcentral. Lineage: Eukaryota; Metazoa; Chordata; Mammalia; Perissodactyla; Equidae.
AUGGAAAAAAAUCAAUUUCUUAGCUCAACCAUGUAGAUUAAUUUAUUAAUGAUCUUGAAAAGUAUGUAAAAAUUUACCUUCAUUUUAACCAUCUGGAAUAAGAGGGCCAGGAAAAAACAAGAAAUGAAGCUUUGACUGGCUGGCAGUUGUUGUGCAAGACCAAAGGCCCCAGGCUGUUAAGGAGAUGAGUUUAUUCUGGCCAUUGCAACUGGGAGAACGUCCAUUUCUGCACAAGAGGGUGUCAAAGCAACGGAAAGAGGCUUGGGAUUUUAAAAGGUGAAGCACACAUUUCAUUUUCAGAACACUGAGAGAGUAAGGGCUGCAUUUUUUCAAAUUUUCCAUCGGGUGAGAAAACAUCCCCAGUGGUUGCUCGUGUGUAAAAAUAGACCACCUCUGAGUACGUGGUUUUACUUCAAUUGCCAUGAGACAUUAUGAACAAAAACAAAAAUUCUAAAAAAUAAAUGCCACUUCUUUCAAUGACUGAAUGAUGAGUACAAUAUAUACUGAUUCUGUGCGUGUGUUAUUGCAGAACAAUAAAGAACCCUCAACUCAGUCUGUUUCCUUUGCUGUGAAUGCACAGCUGGAAGAGGUCUUAGGAGCUUCCUCAUCUACCUCUUCCAUUGUACAAAUAAGCAAACUGAGGGUCUGGAGCACAUUUAAACUGUACUUAAGAAAGAAAGGAGACAGGAUCUCUCUUGACUCUUUGUUGAGCACAGUCUCACUAAUCUGGAGGUCUUCACAAAGCAGUGGCCAAAAGCAGGACCAGAUGAUGAGUGAAGAAUCAGGGUGUCUAGUCAGUAUUUAUGGACAGCUCCUACUAUCUUCUAUAACAGUUGUAUGAUUAAAAAGUGGCAUGAAAUGGUUCCGGCACUGGAAGAUACAAAAAUAUCAUGUGCCUAGAAUCAGCUUGUACAGUGAAAAGUGCAGACCCCAGAAUCAGGUAGAACUGAAGAGUGAAUGACUUCUCCUUCACCUGUACGACCUUGGGCAAGCUACCGCGCCUUUCUGACACUCCGCUUAUCCAUAAAUCGGAGUUAAAAAUACCUGCUUCAUGGAAGUGCAGUGCAGCCUAAGUGAAAUAGCAUGCAGAUGGCAGUCUUUCCCUGUGGUUAGCCCACCUUUGGUGUCACCUGCCCUGGACCAGCGGAAGAGAAAUCACCUUUAGUUAUUAUGUCACAAUGACAUACAUGUUUGUUGAACUGUAACAAUAUCAUCCAUUAGCCUAUCAGGGGCUGGAAGCAUUUUGGACUCAAGCAAUGAAGAGUUUUUAUUUUCUCAUUUAAUUUUUUAUUUUUAAAUCUCCAUCUCAGUUUCUAAAAUGUAUAACUGGAAAAUAAAGGAGAAAACAAGGAAGACACGCAGGGAAUAUAAAUAUGCAUUUGUGGUAAAAUUAUUUGUUCUUGCAAGAGAAGACAAAUCACUCCUGGUGUCAAUGUGAGGUUAUGAUUUCACUCCAUAGUUUAGAAUGAAAAGAAAGGCAUGUGGUUUGUGGUGUAUAUUUGUGCAGAUGUGUGUGAAACAACGUGUUUUUUAAUCACUCCUGCUUCUAGAGCAAACAGUCAUUCUGUCCAGCCGUUGGUGCCAGCCUUGGGCUGGUUAGCUAAGGGCAGAUUUUAUGAAACCAGAGCCAAACAAGCUUAACUCAUAUGAGAUAAGUUCUCUUCCAUUUCUAAAACUGGGAA